Molecule: non-coding RNA, 1519 nt
Organism: Oryza sativa Japonica Group (Japanese rice)
Lineage: Eukaryota; Viridiplantae; Streptophyta; Magnoliopsida; Poales; Poaceae
Source: RefSeq, a predicted model, not a curated record
AUGUGUACAAGCAGAUCGUACUGGUGAGCAAAGGGAUAUAUUGGUGUGUGGACGUAGUGUUUUAAUUAGUACGUUUGGCGAUCGGUCUUUCCAAACAGCUAAUAGCUCAUAAAUAAGGCUAUAAUAGUGGCUAAGUUGAGCAAAUAACUAGAUCUCCUCAAACAAUAAAUUGAGCAAAUAGCGUGUGAGGUUGUAGUGACAUGUUACAAUGUUCACGGGGUUAUAGUAAGCAUCGAGAUGUACGAGGUUGCCAGCCAUCCAAUGCAUCAGUGAAAGAGCCCAUAUAUAGGAGAUAUUUUGUUUUGGUGACUAACAAAAUAGCCCAAUGCAAUGGAUUUCAAAAUAUAUAUUGUAAGUUCUUAACUUGAAAAUAUAUACUUAUUAGAAUAUAAAAUUUGCAAGCAAAUAUCCAAAAAAAAAAAGGCCAAGCCACCUGCACAGAUAUACUCCAUUUAUCUAGGCUUAGAAGAUCCCACCAACUCGAGGGGGUGGCAGAUUCAUCACCACGUUCACUAGAUUCUUUUAUAUAGUAGAGAUUAGAGCCACCACAGAGAAGGCAUAUCCAUUCUUUCUAUAUAGGUGGUACCCACUAUAAGCAAUUACUCCUAUAAAGUAGCCACCAGGUGAAGCCACGUCAGCACUAUUUUACAGCCAUCGGAUCAGCAUUACUUGCACGUCCUAGAUCGCUCGGUCUAAGCGCAGCACAUGUUCCCUUCUCUAACAACCCAUCAAUUCAUUGGUCCAGCCCAGCAUGUCUCUCACAUCCCUUCCCUAUCCUCAGCAGCAGCAGUAGCAGCAUAGUGGUCAUGCCUUUCUGUCUCUACGUUUCCUCUUCUUGGAACCGUCGGCCCGGAUUAACUCCUUCCACUGUAAUAACUCGACGGCAACGCCCGUCCAUAAAGUGAUACGGUGGCCAUCCAAUGCGAGGAAUCGACGGGACAUGACCGCGCGCUGCGAGCAGAGAGAGAAGAGGAGACCCGUGCGUGUGGCAGCAGGAGGCGUAGUGGUGGGUUGUGGUGGUGUCUGCGCUCGGAGCACGGCGUUCGGUGGGUUCGCCGCCGGUAAUUUAGGUACGGGGCAAUGCUCUUGAUUUGUCGUGUUUGCUUCUCUGCCUAAUCUGCGUUUGUUCGAUUCCUGAUUCUGUGAUGCUUUAGUCAAUCAGUUUCAAUUUUAGCCUAAUCCCCUAAUGCGUGAAGCUCUGCGUUUGUUCGAUUCCUGAUUCUGUGAUGCUUCAGUGAAUCAGUUUCAAUUUCAGCGGAUCAGCGCGCGGAACACUUUCAGAUGGCAUCACUUAAGAUCAAUGCAUAUCCCAGUUCAUGGAUCCGGCUUCCAUCCCCAAUUUCCUGUAUUUAUUUUGUUCAGUUCAUUGGAUGUAUUUAUAUGACUCUGAAUGAGAUAAUCAGCGAUUUGAUGCAAACAUCAAAAUGGUUUUCUUCGCAUUCACUUAGCCUAUGUUCUUUCUUUUAAUAUUGUAAUAUUAUGUGAAUAAAAAGCACCUUUUUGUUGUUUCCGAUAGUAA